CCCUCUAUGCAAUUGCUUGAGAAAUAAAGUAUCUGACUUUGCUGCACCCAACCAAAAAGUGAGAACUAACUUUUCUUCGACAGCAGGAACCCUGCAUGACAAGAGAGGAUUAAAGCAACACAGGUCUUCUCCUUAUCCAGAUGAAGGACUUGUCUAUGGAAUGAGUGAAUCAAAAACAGCUAGACAGUCUUUGAUGAACUCCAUGCAUGAACACUCAUGUGCUGGAAUAACAGAACAUGUUCUUGCUUAGUUUAUCCCACAUGGGGAGUUGAUCAAGAAUAGAUAUUGCACUUUAAAUUCCCACUUUACCUUAAUCCAAGUCAGCUUUCAAGUGGAGACGAGCUCUGAGCUGCUUAACUUAGUCUGAGACCCCAAUUUUAGAGUUGGAGGGGGCAGUCUGUUUCCCUAUAAUCCCUGUCUCUCUCUCUUCUCCUGCCAGCUGAGGCAGAUCUUUUACCCCUCUCCAAGUUCCUUUGUCUGUCCCAGGCAUCCCGAACCCAGUCAAUCCAGGAAGGGUGUGGAUAGACUUCCCAGCAGUUGUUCUUUGCAUUGUCUUUUAACCAUUGGUAAAUGGGGUGAGGGGCUCUCUCCAGCUCAGUAUUUACCUGUUGGGAUGGGGCAUAGAGCAGAUUGCAACUGUCAACAUACUUGGGCUGCGUUACGGCCAGUGCUGAAGGAGUCUCAAAAGAUGUGAUCGUUCAUAUAACAGCAGCUACUGCCAUGUUACUGCAGGUCCUUUGGCAGCCUCUUUGGAGGCCCCAGGACAUCAAGCUUGCUACGUACCUGCAGAUCUAUAGAACCACAGCAGUGAAACGUGGGUGCUGAGGAAGACUGAAGAGCAGCUUAAGGAUUUUUUAAUUUUCAUUGUCUCCAUCAGCUGCUCCAUAGCAGCAGGUCAAGAUCAGCAAUGAGAUUCAUAGCUGAACCCAAGCAACUGCCUCCAUCAGCACAGGUUUCUCUUUCCUGGUGCAGACACAUUCUUAGGAUGGAGAAUGAGCGAAUUACGAAGUGUGUUUACCCAGGAGUGCUGCUACCUUGCCAGUGAUCACCAUAAACCCAAGAUCUUAAGGACUGAGUUAGAGAUUGAUCUGGGUGGCAUAUGAUCUGCGAGGAGGCCACGUCCCUGGGGAUUUGCUGGGGUGAUGAUGUGGAGGCUCUAUGAGGUGUUUGCUUCUCUUGGAAUGAACCACCUUUGUAAUCACAGCAAGUAACACACAACUGAACGAGAAGAGGAUCGUAUAAUAUUCAUAAAAUACAGACAUCUUCCCAGGGAGGCCACAGCACCAAAGAAAUCUCCCCUCCUAUUUCUGUCCUACAAUUGCUUUGCAAGUCAUGCUACAUCCCUAGCAAUUUGGUGGCAGAGAAUUUCAUGGAGGAUGAUCAGAAAUCAGUUCACCCUGUGGCACUCUCCUCGGCCCCCUCUGGCACCCUUCCUCCCUCCUUUCCAUGAUCUUUAAUCUGACCCUCCCCCACUCCUGCCUUCCCUGCCAGGUGCCUGUAACUGGAUCUCAGCUUGGCAAGGGCUCCAGAGAUCCAGCCACAUGAUACUGUGGGGCUGCUGGCAAGAACAGCUGGUGUCCUCAGGAAUGCACUGAGUAGGACAGUUCUAAGCAAAGCUGAUCCUGCUCCCUGUGGGGGGGGGUGUCUGCUCCUCCCUCUUCUCUUUAACCCUUCCCCUGGCGUAGGUGGGGCAAGUUUCCCAGGGAAGCUGGGGCACCUGCCCUCCUUUUAGCAGAUUAGCAAUCUGUCCAGAGGAUAUGCUGUAAAUCAGCCUGUAAAAGAGAAGAUCUAGGACCUGUGUUGGGGAGGGUCAAGCGAGAUGGCCCAUUCUGGCCUCAGAGUCUGUGGUUCCCCCUACUCAUUCCCUUCCUUCAUGGGCCACAGGGAGAUCAGAAUUAGGAGUAUGCUCAUACCACACACAGGCUCUGUGUUAUGACACUAACUGGCCCAGCCUCAUUCUUCAGGGCUAUACUUAAGAGACGUUUUCAGCAGAUGCCACCAUUACACACUCUUCAGUAUGCUAGCAAGUUUUGACUCUUGGGAAAAUAUACUGGGUGGUUGGCUGUUUUGGGUUCUGCAAUGUUCUGGUAGGCAAUGAUCCUGGGGGGUGAGGGAGCUGGCUGAGCAGUGGGAAAAUUUGCUGUCUGCCUUGGGCUUUCACUGGAGUCAAUUUCUGAAGGCAGUUUAUCCUUGUGAAUCAGGCACUGGGGUUGGGCUGAGCCACAUGGAAGCACAGAUUGCCCUGUGUGCUGUUUGACCACCUCUGUUUUAGGACUUGUGUAUGUAAAUAAAGUGAGUUACCUUAGACUCUAUCCAUACUCCACAUCACUGAUUUCUCUUCUGUUGGGAAGAUGAUCUGCAAGGUCUCAGAGGUCAGCUGUCCCCAACAAAAGGGCUAUGCUGGUGCCAGGACUAGGUCACUGAUGUCAGAAGGGGUAGAGAUAUCAUACAAAAACACUGUAGUCCUUUAGAGGAUUUGUGGCUGGGACAGAGCAGGAUAUGUUAGGGUUGGAACUAGCAUGAGCACUGACUGGUAGGGGAGAGCAUCCAGUGCUGAGCCCCCACCCUGCUCCCUGCAGCACAGUACGUGUGCACCUGCCAACACACACACUGGGGAAUUGGGGUCAGCACAGACUGCUGGGGACAGCACCCCAUACUGAGCCACCAGCAUGCUUCCUGCAGCACAGUAUCCCCCCAGCGCCAUGCUGCUUUAGCAGCAGAAGGGGAAAAAAUGGGAGAAGAUCCAUCACCCAUAGUCAGAUCUCAGUCUCCCCUGCCUCUCAACAUGCAGGGUUAGGGAGGCUCUGUGUCCUGCAGCUCCAAAGCCUUGGUCCUGUCAUUAGGAGUGUCACUGGCAGGCUCAGCAGCAGCCCCAUGAAACCUGCUCUGCGCUGGGCUGGACACUGCAGGAUGCUGCUGAAGCAAGGACAUGAGACCAUGCUAGCUCUGGAUGCACAGCCGCCUCUCCCUAUGGGCUGCCUCCAUCCAGUGCUAGAGGCAACACCCUGCUUUCCCCUUUGGGCCACUGCUCUGCACGGGAGGGGGGGUACCCUCAAGGAGUUGGGCAUUCCUCAAAACUGGGCAUGGGGUAGCUCACUAUUCCUGUCGCCAUCCUGCUGGCAUGUGAGGGGUGGUCUUAAAGUAGUAGGCUCCCCCACAUCUUUCCCCAGCUGCUGGUGGGGCUUGGGGCUGCCCCUCCAAAUGACAUGGUCUAGGUAGCCUGCCCUUAACACUUGCCAUGGCUGGAGGCAGGCGCAGGGGGGGUCCAGGCUGGGUGGGGGGAGCCCAGGGCAGCAAUGAUGCAGGGAGGGAUUAGGUGUUUGGGAUUCCUGCCCCCCUCCCAUACCCACACCUCCACUUCCAUCCUGCUUGCGAGGGGUCCUGAGUUGAACUGAUGGUGUUGCAGGCCCCAUGCCCAGGGGGAUGCCCCUGGGAAGUGAACGAAAUCCUAGGGAAACCUAGCAAUGCCUAGGUAUGGAGGUGAAGCUGACAUGGAAUUCUGGAAUUCUGCCAACAACUGGUGAAGGCCAAUGAGAUGUGGGUGGUGCUGCUUGCUGGCCUGAGCUGGCCUCCUGGCGGGGGGCAAACAGAAGUGUGAGGAUUGGGUGCCACACAGGCACUGGGGAGAUGGGCACUAGAGCUGACAGCAGCUCCUCAUGCAGGGAUCUGUGCCAGGGCCUCUGCUUGGCAGGGUCUUGAGCGAGGAGCCCAGUUCUCCACUGCAGAGCUUUGCACUGUCCUCUGGCCCAGCCCCCAUCAGAGCCAGGAUAUUGGUCUGGAUGGAUCAAAGGGUCUGAUCUGGGGUUGGAGGGGAGGGCAGAUAUACAGGGCUGGCUGGGCCCAGGGGUCUGAUCUGCAGCAGUAAUUCCUGCACUCCAAACUAGUCAGAACCCCAGCAUUUUAGGCAGCUGAGUCUGAAUCCCAGAGCCCUGGCUCAGGCCCUUCUAAGUAAUAGCUGGGGAGGGGGCUGAUGCUCCCUUAACCCCACAUGCUCUUUGUGCCUGAAGUGCCAGGGUCCUGGCCUCCGACAAGAAGCACUAGGCAAAUCUGGGGGCAGGGAAGGAGCCUGGUGCGGGAUCCUAAGGCACAAGGUGACUUGACCAUUGUUCAGAAUGGAGCUGGGGCCAACUGGGGCACCCCAGGCUGCCCUCCUUUCUGGAGUGGGCCCCAAGAAGUUUGCUGAGCUGGGAGGGGAGGCCCAGGAGGUGGACGGGCACUGUGGGCUCUGUCCAACCACAGCAGCUGCUGGAAAAGACAGGGUCACAGAGAAGACAGGAAAGUGACCCCUUGGCAGAGCGGGCCUGGAGAAGGCUGGCCACUACCAUCAUCUUCUCUGCUGUGGCACCUCCAGUUGAGACCCAGCAGGGGAAGGAUGGAGGGAGCUGGGGCCCAGGUAGCCUCAGGGGAAUGGUGCUGUAGCUCCCAUGGUGCAGGAGGAGUUGCUUGGAUGGACCCUGCAGACAGGAGAGGCACAGGGAGGUAGCUGGUGGUGCCUCCUCAUUUCUCUGCAGGCCACUGGCUCCCUCCACAUCCCGUUCUUCCUUGGCUGCUGGAUCUUCUUCCAACCCUGCUGCAGCUCAGGGUGCCAAUAAUGCCUCAAGGACCCGCAUAUUUGUACAUGGCAUUUUAUUGGGGAGGGACUACUUUGUCCUUCUGCUGCCGGUUACAAAGGCGGCAGAAGGACACAUAGGUGGGGAGUGUCACAAGGAACUCCAGCCCAUGCUGACAGGGGGACGGGCUUGCUAAUGCCCCCGUCCUUGGGUACCUUUGCAUGGUAUGCCAUGGUUACAAGCACUAUGGUGAUGUCACUUCCCAGCUCCCACCCACCUCCCUCUGCCCUGGUUCAGGCUCUCUGCCCCUUUAAGACAUCAUAAUUUCCAGAUUCUCCUCCCCUCACCAAUGAUGUCAUCAUUCCCAAUGAUCUCACAAUCUCUUGCUGUGACAGCAAUAACAGCAGUCAGGGAGGAAGCAGCAGGAAUCCAUGGGCUCUUAAAGAGGAAGAGAACCUGACCAAGCUUCCUUUAGACCUGAGUCUUGCUUCCUUCUGCUUUUCCUAGUUUGUUAUUGUAGGGUCACGGGAGCUGCACAGGCUGGUUUGUUAUCACAGAAGUCUCUCUGGGUGCCAUGCACUGGUUUGUUAUUGGAGAGUCACUCAGGGACACUAGGGCUAUGCAUGCUGGUAUGUUAAUAUUGUAGGGUCUCUCAUGGCGCUGCACGCUGGUUUGCUUCUAUAGGAUAAUUUAAGGAUGCUAGGAGAUGUGCUUUCUGGUUUGAUAUUAUUGUAGGGACACUCAGUGAUGCCAGGGCAGUGCAUGCUGGUUUGUUGUUACUGAAGGGUCACUCAGGCUGCUAUGCACUCGGGGAUACUAAGACUAUAUGCACUGGUUUGUUAUUGUAGGGUCUCUCAGGGCACUGGUUUGCUUAUCACAGGGUCACUUAGGAUACUAAGGGCAAUGCACACUGAUUGGUUAUUACAGGGUCACUCAGAGGCACUGGGGCUCCACAUGCUGGUCUAUUAUUGUAGGAUCACUCAGAGGCAUGGGGGCUCAAUGCUCAGGUCUGUUAUUGUAGGGGCACUGGGACUCCACAUGCUGGUUUGUUAUUGUAGGGGCACUGGGGCUCCACAUGCUGGUUUGUUAUUGUAGGGGCACUGGGGCUCCACAUGCUGGUUUGUUAUCUUAGAGGCACUGGGGCUCCACACACUGGUUUGUUAUUGUAGGGUCA
Gopherus evgoodei (Goodes thornscrub tortoise) is the source of this 5724-nucleotide long non-coding RNA. RefSeq lists it as uncharacterized. The record is from RefSeq and is a predicted model, not a curated record. The transcript is spliced from 2 exons. Lineage: Eukaryota; Metazoa; Chordata; Testudines; Testudinidae.